CACACACACCUUCCAUUUGACCACAGCACUAAUGACUUCUGUUCAGAAGCUCAGAAACCGCAAACUGACACGAGUCAACAUGUUCACAACAGGCUGCUGCACAGUGACACACACACACACACACACACACACACACACACUGCUGCUUCAAAUAUAUAUUCCACUGUAUAACUCAUCAAUAUCUUGGACGAAGGUCAGAGAAUAGGUUAGUUAAAGGACCAGUACGUAAAGUUGCAGGUUUACUUAUUAAAGUUUGUGAUUGUCAGAGUCUGACGUCACAUCGUCGCUGCUCUUUUGUGUUUUCACGCGUGUUUGACGCCAUUUUGAAAUGUUCUAUCUCAAAUGCAAAUCUAGAUGUCGGUGAUGAUGCUGAAGUAUGUGAAACAAAAGGAGAAGAAGAUGAAGAGGAAGACGAUGCUGGGGACCAAACUGUGACCUGAACUUAUGGAGGGAACUCAGGGCCGUCCACAUACUUUUGGCCGCACUGUCGUGAGUUCUGCACAAACCGCCUGCAGUCCACGUGUUCGCCACACGAGGGCGGUGCCAACGGAGGAGAUCAUGCAGCAGCUUGUCACAGACGUGCUCCCUAACGCUCAUCCAGCCGCUCAUUGUCUGAUCUGGAGGUGGCGAGGAGGAGGCGGCAGGUCGCAGCAGGUUCCUGCCCCGCCCACAUUUCUCCUGAGCGACCUCACUGACUCGACCUCUGACGAUGACGACGAGCAGCGUUCUACUGGGUUCACACACAAAGUGAAGAGAUAAACAAGAGAGACGGUGAAAGAUUUUACAGAAGGAAACAUCAAAGACUUUUAGCUUUAUGUUUCUGUCCUGUUCACACACACACACACACACACACACACACACACACACACACACACACACACCUCGCUCGGUGCUGCAGAACAUUAUCCUCCGGCUGCAGGCUAAAGGCUUAGCCGCAUACCGGCAGGCCCAUGGACCUGAGAUUAACUACGAGCAGGCUCCACCUGAGGGAAACACACACACACACACACACACACACA
Molecule: long non-coding RNA, 1019 nt
Organism: Scophthalmus maximus (turbot)
Lineage: Eukaryota; Metazoa; Chordata; Actinopteri; Pleuronectiformes; Scophthalmidae
Exons: 3
Source: RefSeq, a predicted model, not a curated record